UGGGGAAUAUUGCGCAAUGGUCGAAAGACUGACGCAGCGACGCCGCGUGUGGGAGGAAGCCCUUCGGGGUGUAAACCACUGUCAGGGGGGAAGAACUCCGGAUUCGCAAAUAGUGCUUCCGGUUGACGGUACCCCCAGAGGAAGCGCCGGCUAACUCCGUGCCAGCAGCCGCGGUAAGACGGAGGGCGCAAGCGUUGUUCGGAAUUACUGGGCGUAAAGCGCAGGCAGGCGGUCUGUUAAGUCUUCUGUGAAACUCCGGAGCUCAACUCCGGACUUGCAGAAGAUACUGGCAGACUAGAGAGUGGUAGAGGCAAGCGGAAUUCCUGGUGUAGCGGUGGAAUGCGUAGAUAUCAGGAAGAACACCUGUGGCGAAGGCGGCUUGCUGGGCCAUCUCUGACGCUCAUCUGCGAAAGCGUGGGGAGCAAACAGGAUUAGAUACCCGUGUAGUCC
This 450-nucleotide ribosomal RNA is filed under the name uncultured prokaryote. Its description in RNAcentral is "bacterial SSU rRNA". It matches the Rfam family "Bacterial small subunit ribosomal RNA", at positions 355 to 796 of the family's 1533-position model. The record is from RNAcentral.